This 1122-nucleotide long non-coding RNA is filed under the name Apteryx owenii (little spotted kiwi). RNAcentral describes it as "lncRNA (ENSAOWG00000000889.1)". Lineage: Eukaryota; Metazoa; Chordata; Aves; Apterygiformes; Apterygidae. The record is from RNAcentral.
ACGCCUACAGUGCGCUCCCCCUCACUCCUUUUCCUCGGAGUGCCCGGCCCCGGCCCCCUUCUGCCCCUUUCCCCGGCAGGGUGAUACUUUGUCAAGCCGUAAUCCAACCCUGCUAAACCCGCGGGUAGAGCUGAAGCGCUGCGAUGAAUCUCGGCAGACUCAUUCCUCUCCUCGAGAGCUUGCUGCCCUUAGAAAUGACUUCAGCGCGCUUUUGCAAGUGUAAAGGGAAAUCAAGAUCCCCUCUUCAUGUCUCUUGAUCUUCACCAGACUAGAAGAACCUGUAGUUCUUAGAGCUGCAGCUUCAUUCUUGGAGUAUCAAUACUUGAAUGCCAGUGGGAAUUGGAUUGUUUUUAACCUGAAUUUCUCCAGCAAUAUCUGUCUAAGGGAAUGAGUGUGUAUGUGCUUGGCUUAACGACAGCCACACUUAAUGAAUUGACUGUUCUGUCGGCAGUUUUAUGUUGUGUCACUUUCAUUUAGCUUCUAUACUUUCCUUUAUUCUUAUUGACACAAAUUGUCCUUUCUUCUUGGUACAAGAGAGAAAGAACUACAUCUGAUUUAUAUAGCAUAAUUAUAUUGAAUUUUGAAUCUAGCCGUGGUCAUCAAAAUAAUUUUCUGAAAAUAAUUCCUGUGGGAAUUCCAAACUAUGUCUGAAUUAUCAUUCUUCAUUAUGUAAGAGCAUAUUUUGUAAAUGUUUAUGAACUACUGAAUUAGGAAAAAGUUGGAAUGCGUAUUUUUAAAUUGAUUAGCCUCUUUAUUUAGAUUUCUUGUAUCUCCUGUUUUAUUUAGAUUUCUUGUAUCUCCUGUUUUAUAAGACUAUGGAAUAGAAUCAGAUUUUCUUAGAAUUGUGUUGUUUUAUAAUGGAGCAACAGGUGACCAACUGAACUUAAGAAAAGUGCUAAUCAGAAGAGAAAAGAUCAUCUAACUUAAGGGAAAAUAUUUUUAAAAAGGAAUCCUGGCAUAAAGAAUCCUAUUUCAGAAAGAAUCUGGUAAUCCCACCUCUUCUUUUCCCCUUCAUCUGUGUCUGAGCUUUCUGUUGGGAAAGUUGGACUGGUGUUUUUGCUGUACAGUAUCUUUGACUGACAGCUCAGAAAUGCCUCCGCUUGUCAUAUACAGGCAGCAUAA